RNAcentral lists this unclassified non-coding RNA (346 nucleotides) under Hevea brasiliensis (rubber tree). Lineage: Eukaryota; Viridiplantae; Streptophyta; Magnoliopsida; Malpighiales; Euphorbiaceae. The record is from RNAcentral.
UGAUGUCCAAGGUCUUUUACUGGAAUACGUAAAAAGAAACAAUCUCCGUGAUCCACACAAAUCUCAAAUUGUUUGUGAUUCAAGGCUCUUAACUCUGUUUGGAAAGCCAUGUGUGGGUCAUCUUGAAAUGCUGAAGCUUCUUGAAUGCCAUUUUCUUAUAAAAGAAGAAUCUUCAGCUGAUGAUGCUGUUAAAGUGGGAGUUGCUGAUGCUGUUGGUGGACAGUUAGAGGCUGCUGGAAGCACUGAUGGUCAACUGAUUGCAAGUAAUGACAGGUGUAAAACACACAAAAAGAUGGAUGAGAGGGGACCACAAAUUUAUCCAAAUCCAGAUGAAUAUGCAGCAAUA